Molecule: long non-coding RNA, 755 nt
Filed under: Ricinus communis (castor bean)
Lineage: Eukaryota; Viridiplantae; Streptophyta; Magnoliopsida; Malpighiales; Euphorbiaceae
Description: long non-coding RNA (RCOM_LNC001390)
Source: RNAcentral
CGGGUUAGCUGAGAAAUUAAUACGAAAUAGUGACGUGAACAUCCAAAAAUCAAAAUCAAAAUUUCGCCCAUUGGCAUGCAUCCCGAGGUGACUGGGCCCGUCGCUGGAAAAGUUUCGACAGUUAUGAAAAUUCGAUCCGAGCACACCAAAGGAAAGCGCACAAUCUCAAAAGUCCAGAUGUACAAUUAUUUUUACCAAAAAGUGGUCGAAAAAUCCUAGAUCGCCGUUUAAAGUUUUAACGCCGUUGAGCUUGAUCAACGAUGAAACAGAGGAUAUCAGGCCUGAGCUUUACUUUUCUAAGAAUUUUUCGGCAUGAGGAGCUUAUUUUUGGGAUCUGGUUGGCCAAAAGAGGUCGGCAAGAUACUAAACCAGCAAUGGCAGCGGUGAGAGACGUUUCUCUCUCUUCGAAGCACGCGGACGAGCGACUCUUGAUGUUACUUGGCGCCGGCGAGGGGUGGAGCGAGGCAACGAUGGCCUAAAAUGAGUGUUAGAUGGUGAAAGGAGGCUCAAUGCCAGUGAAUACGUGAAGCAAUGGGUGGGUUGGCAAUGGUGUAUGACGAGAGAGAAGGAGCAAGGUAGGAGGAGGGGCCAAAUUGAAAUAUUUAUUUUCUUUUUCAAAUUUCAGUUUUGUCCUUCCUUAUAAGAAAAAGAGGCUAUAUUAACCUUAUUUCUUAUAUAUAUAUAUUAUUAACUUCCAAUACUUAAGUCACUAAAAAUAUAUUUUAACUUUGAAUUAGUUAUAAAAUAAUAUAUUC